GUCCACGCCGUAAACGAUGGAUACUAGGUGUAGGAGGUAUCGACCCCUCCUGUGCCGGAGUUAACGCAAUAAGUAUCCCGCCUGGGAAGUACGAUCGCAAGAUUAAAACUCAAAGGAAUUGACGGGGGCCCGCACAAGCGGUGGAGUAUGUGGUUUAAUUCGACGCAACGCGAAGAACCUUACCAGGUCUUGACAUUGAUCGCGAUCUGCAGAAAUGCGGAGUUCUUCUUCGGAAGACGAGAAAACAGGUGGUGCACGGCUGUCGU
RNAcentral lists this ribosomal RNA (266 nucleotides) under uncultured bacterium. RNAcentral describes it as "partial 16S ribosomal RNA". It matches the Rfam family "Bacterial small subunit ribosomal RNA", at positions 793 to 1055 of the family's 1533-position model. The record is from RNAcentral.